GCGGCGUGCCUAUCAUGCAGUCGAGCGAUGAUUGGNGAUAGCUUGCUAUUUUCAUGAAGAGCGGCGAACGGGUGAGUAACGCGUGGGAAAUCUGCCGAGUAGCGGGGGACAACGUUUGGAAACGAACGCUAAUACCGCAUAACAAUAAGAAUCGCAUGAUUCUUAUUUGAAAGAAGCAAUUGCUUCACUACUUGAUGAUCCCGCGUUGUAUUAGCUAGUUGGUAGUGUAAAGGACUACCAAGGCGAUGAUACAUAGCCGACCUGAGAGGGUGAUCGGCCACUGGGNAGGACUGAGACA
RNAcentral lists this ribosomal RNA (298 nucleotides) under Lactococcus garvieae. RNAcentral describes it as "partial 16S ribosomal RNA". It matches the Rfam family "Bacterial small subunit ribosomal RNA", at positions 39 to 326 of the family's 1533-position model. The record is from RNAcentral. Lineage: Bacteria; Bacillati; Bacillota; Bacilli; Lactobacillales; Streptococcaceae.